UACUGCUUUUUCUUUAUUGAGCAAAAAUGUAUUUUUGGUGGAAUAUGAAUUUUCUCUCUGCUUCUCACAGUUCAGUGAUUCCUGGCAACAUCAAAGAACUAAGACAACAAAACGGGAUGCUUUCCGAUCAUAAAGAUGCGGGUCCUUCAGUCUCUUUCAAGAAAUAAUAGUGUCGGUGACACCUCUCCGCCAAGAUUUUCAUCACACACGGCCCGGCGGCUGGGAAAGGCUGGACUACCUCCACACAGCCAUAGGUGCCAUUUUCUACCCAGCACGCACCUGGCGUUGGAAGAUGUUAAGAUUUCCUGUUAUUUCCUCACGAUUGCUAUAUCCCUGGUAUUUGGGGGAAAGGAACAAAGAAGUAACAAAAAUCUGAAAACUGAUCAUUGCUGGGAAGAGAUGACCGCUGAAAUAACAAAGGGCAUCCCUGAGAAACGCUGCCCCAGAGCAGCCCCCAAGCCACGUGACUUGGCAAUUUCACCAGUGAGAACAGAAUGAAGCAACUCAAAUCUCCACAGACGGUGCAGCGCCACCUCCCCUGCCCGCAGCAGGCUGGAACUGUAGGAAAUAAGCUGAACGCUGCUAAUGCUGAGAGCGCCAGCGCUCGAUGAGACUCCACGGGGCUCUCCAGCAGGCUCUUGGGAGGCCAAGCACACACUGGGAUGUGGACUUGUCACUCCAACUGGAUGAGCCGCCCCAGAGCCGGGCACUAAUUUACACGCGCAGGUCUGAGCCAGUGAGUUGCUGAAGAGGAAGUAGAAUGAAGAAAGGAAAUCAUGAAGAUAAAAGCCAUAGUUAAUGAAAUAGCAAACACACAUAAAUGAGAGAAUCGAGACCAACAGUAACUCUUGGAAAAAGAAGGAACCACAAGCAAGACUGGAAAAGCUAAUCAAGUAGACAGACAGAAGACAAGAAACAGUAGGAUGAAAGGGAGACCUGCUUGAAGACAUUUCAGACAUUCAAUAGGUGCCAUUUCAGAUUCAAAUGACAGAAUGUGGUCGGGAAGAAGCAGUGUACACGUUAAAGUUCCAUGAGGCUGUGCAGAUGCCACUUAAACACUGAUUCCUGAGGCGAGAGUUCUUCUGCCAGCUCACAUCAAAGCACUCAGUGAAGGUGAAGGCGAAUGACCUUUGGGCUCUGCAACCCUGCUUUCUUCCGCUCUCCUGCCUCCCUUUCUCCUCUUGCUAGAUGGCAAAAUUACAUGAAGAUCUUAAUUUGAAAUUCUUAAGGGGAACAAACCAAGAAGAAUAGAAGGGGCUCUUGUCCAAGAAUCUUAGGCCCCUCCAAUAUGAGACAUUCCUGAGACAGAAAAAUGUGUCUUCUCCGUGGGAACCAAGACAGUUUUGCUGUGUCCUCUACACACGAGAAUAAGCUAUCCAUCUGAUAGCCUCAUAAUAAGAUGUGCCCUUCUAGUCUCAGCACUCUUAGAAUGAAUUAUUUAACAUACUCCUAUUGUUCCCAUGUAAGUCCUGUGUAGAAUGCAGAGCUCAUUUGGGGGAAAAAAGGAAACACUGGAAGUAGCAAAAAAAAAAAAAAAUGCACCUGAGCUUAUGGUUCCUGCCAAUGGUAAAUUCACUGCUUGCACUUUUGCAUAAAAAUGUUUUUACUCCUUUCUUCCAUGGUGUGCACAAAGUAACGACUCUUCCCGGACACCUGCAGAGAGACCUAUGAGAAUGUCUGAUAAUUCUUACCAUGUUGGCCUCUGCAUCUUCUCUCCAACCUGCUCCUAAGCAGAGCACAUCUGCCACGAAAUAUCAGCAAAAGAAGGCUUCAUUAAAUAUUAAAUGCUGUUUUCUGCCUUUGCAAGCAUUUGCCCUAUACAAAAAACCCUCACAUGGUGAAAAUGUACAGAAGAGCAGCAAGAACUUGAUGAGCCGUCAGCAGCUCUGUGCAGGCGGCAGCCCAUCGGUGUGCGGCCAGUUUCUUACUCUUAGCCACCUGCUGCAGCCCCAAGUGGAACAGGGAUUUCAAUGAUGUCUCUAAAUGAUCAUUAAAGUGGAACCUUGAGACAGUACAUUUGUUCAGCAUCUUCAAGAUGCAUA
Molecule: long non-coding RNA, 2042 nt
Organism: Heterocephalus glaber (naked mole-rat)
Lineage: Eukaryota; Metazoa; Chordata; Mammalia; Rodentia; Bathyergidae
Source: RefSeq, a predicted model, not a curated record